RNAcentral lists this ribosomal RNA (468 nucleotides) under uncultured bacterium. RNAcentral's name for it is "partial 16S ribosomal RNA". It matches the Rfam family "Bacterial small subunit ribosomal RNA", at positions 36 to 507 of the family's 1533-position model. The record is from RNAcentral.
UCCUCCCUCUUUCCUCGUGCUUAACACAUGCAAGUCGAACGGAAAGGCCCUGCUUUUGUGGGGUGCUCGAGUGGCGAACGGGUGAGUAACACGUGAGUAACCUGCCCUUGACUUUGGGAUAACUUCAGGAAACUGGGGCUAAUACCGGAUAGGAGCUCCUGCUGCAUGGUGGGGGUUGGAAAGUUUCGGCGGUUGGGGAUGGACUCGCGGCUUAUCAGCUUGUUGGUGGGGUAGUGGCUUACCAAGGCUUUGACGGGUAGCCGGCCUGAGAGGGUGACCGGCCACAUUGGGACUGAGAUACGGCCCAGACUCCUACGGGAGGCAGCAGUGGGGAAUAUUGCACAAUGGGCGGAAGCCUGAUGCGGCAACGCCGCGUGCGGGAUGACGGCCUUCGGGUUGUAAACCGCUUUCGCCUGUGACGAAGCGUGAGUGACGGUAAUGGGUAAAGAAGCACCGGCUAACUACGUG